CUCUUCCCCUCUCUCCACAGUGCAGUGCCCAUCCAGAGGUGUCUAGACCUGGGGGCUGACAUUGUAGUCACAGGGAGAUGUGUGGACAGUGCUGUCGCCCUAGGACCUCUUAUGCACUCUUUUGGGUGGAAGCAAAACAACUAUGACCUGUUGGCAGCUGGGAGUCUUGCAGGCCACCUCAUAGAGUGUGGUGCCCAGGCAACAGGCGGCAUAUUCACGGACUGGCACACAGUACCCGACUGGGAUAACAUGGGAUUCCCAGUGGUGGAGUGUUCAGCUGAUGGUUUCCUUCAUUCUCUCCAAGCCG
Molecule: long non-coding RNA, 307 nt
Organism: Oncorhynchus gorbuscha (pink salmon)
Lineage: Eukaryota; Metazoa; Chordata; Actinopteri; Salmoniformes; Salmonidae
Exons: 4
Source: RefSeq, a predicted model, not a curated record